CAGAGGUCUCAAGCGUUGUUCGGAUUCAUUGGGCGUAAAGGGUGCGUAGGUGGCGGGGUUAGUCAGGUGUGAAAUCUCGGAGCUCAACUCCGAAACUGCACUUGAUACUGCCUUGCUAGAGUACUGGAGAGGAGAUUGGAAUUUACGGUGUAGCAGUGAAAUGCGUAGAUAUCGUAAGGAAGACCAGUGGCGAAGGCGAAUCUCUGGACAGUUACUGACACUGAGGCACGAAGGCCAGGGGAGCAAACGGGAUUAGAUACCCCGGUAGUCCUGGCAGUAAACGGUGCGCGUUUGGUGUGGGAGGAUUCGACCCCUUCUGUGCCGGAGCUAACGCGUUAAACGCGCCGCCUGGGGAGUACGGUCGCAAGAUUA
This 372-nucleotide ribosomal RNA is filed under the name uncultured organism. Its description in RNAcentral is "bacterial SSU rRNA". It matches the Rfam family "Bacterial small subunit ribosomal RNA", at positions 526 to 896 of the family's 1533-position model. The record is from RNAcentral.